This 450-nucleotide ribosomal RNA is filed under the name uncultured bacterium. RNAcentral's name for it is "partial 16S ribosomal RNA". It matches the Rfam family "Bacterial small subunit ribosomal RNA", at positions 354 to 796 of the family's 1533-position model. The record is from RNAcentral.
GUGGGGAAUAUUCCGCAAUGGACGAAAGUCUGACGGAGCAACGCCGCGUGAGUGAAGAAGGUUUUCGGAUCGUAAAGCUCUUUCGUUAGGGACGAACGUGCUCUUUGUGAAUAAUGAGGAGUAAUGACGGUACCUAAAUAAGAAGCCACGGCUAACUACGUGCCAGCAGCCGCGGUAAUACGUAGGUGGCAAGCGUUGUCCGGAAUUAUUGGGCGUAAAGCGCGCGCAGGCGGGAUAUCAAGUCUGUCUUAAAAGUGCGAGGCUCAACCUCGUGAGGGGACAGAAACUGGUAUUCUUGAGUGUCGGAGAGGAAAGUGGAAUUCCAAGUGUAGCGGUGAAAUGCGUAGAGAUUUGGAAGAACACCAGUGGCGAAGGCGACUUUCUGGACGAUGUCUGACGCUGAGGCGCGAAAGCUAGGGGAGCGAACGGGAUUAGAUACCCCUGUAGUCC